GCCCAGCCGUAACACGGCAACACCAUUGCUCGCCAAACCAUUACGAGUGAAAACUUAAAACUUAAAGGACUUGACGGUACUUCACCCAACCUAGAGGAGCCUGUCUAAUAACCGAUAACCCACGAUUAACCCAACCACUUCUGGCCACACAGUCUAUAUACCGCCGUCGCCAGCUCACCUUGCAAGAGAAACAAAGUGAACCAAACAGUAAUACACUAACACGACAGGUCGAGGUGUAACUCAUGAAGUGGACCAAGAUGGGCUACAUUUUCUAACACAGACUAUACGAACAAAGACAUGAAACCAUCCUUUAAAGGCGGAUUUAGUAGUAAGAUAAGAACACAAUACUUAGCUGAACCCAAUGCAAUGAAGUGCGUACACACCGCCCGUCAUCCCUGUCAUCAACCAAAACAACCCAACAUAUACCAACCAACAAAAACACGAAACAGGGCAAGUCGUAACAUGGUAAGCGUACUGGAAAGUGCGCUUAGAAA
RNAcentral lists this ribosomal RNA (494 nucleotides) under Python regius (ball python). RNAcentral describes it as "partial 12S ribosomal RNA". It matches the Rfam family "Bacterial small subunit ribosomal RNA", at positions 794 to 1522 of the family's 1533-position model. The record is from RNAcentral. Lineage: Eukaryota; Metazoa; Chordata; Lepidosauria; Squamata; Pythonidae.